CCCGCUGAACUUAAGCAUAUCAAUAAGCGGAGGAAAAGAAACCAACAGGGAUUGCCUCAGUAACGGCGAGUGAAGCGGCAACAGCUCAAAUUUGAAAUCUGGCCUUCGGGUCCGAGUUGUAAUUUGUAGAGGAUGCUUCGGGCGUGGUCUGGUCUAAGUGCCUUGGAAUGGGCCGUCAUAGAGGGUGAGAAUCCCGUAUGCGACCGGGUGCCUAAGCUCAUGUGAAGCUCCUUCGACGAGUCGAGUUGUUUGGGAAUGCAGCUCUAAAUGGGUGGUAAAUUUCAUCUAAAGCUAAAUAUUGGCCAGAGACCGAUAGCGCACAAGUAGAGUGAUCGAAAGAUGAAAAGCACUUUGGAAAGAGAGUUAAAAGUACGUGAAAUUGUUGAAAGGGAAGCACUUGCAAUCAGACUUGCGCGCUGUUGAUCAUCCGGUGUUCUCACCGGUGCACUCAGCAGCGUUCAGGCCAGCAUCAGUUUUGGUGGUUGGAUAAAGGCCAGGGGAAUGUGGCUCCCUUCGGGGAGUGUUAUAGCCCUUGGUGCAAUGCAGCCUACUAGGACUGAGGACCGCGCUUCGGCUAGGAUGUUGGCGUAAUGGUUGUAAGUGACCCGUCUUGAAACACGG
This 621-nucleotide ribosomal RNA is filed under the name uncultured fungus. Its description in RNAcentral is "eukaryotic LSU rRNA". It matches the Rfam family "Eukaryotic large subunit ribosomal RNA", at positions 24 to 664 of the family's 3401-position model. Lineage: Eukaryota; Fungi. The record is from RNAcentral.